GGGAUCAUAGCUCAGCUGGGAGAGCAUCUGCCUUACAAGCAGAGGGUCAUAGGUUCGAGCCCUAUUGGUCCCA
Non-coding RNA from Anaerostipes sp. CAG:276, 73 nucleotides. Lineage: Bacteria; Bacillati; Bacillota; Clostridia; Lachnospirales; Lachnospiraceae. The record is from Rfam.